AAUAGAUACCCAGGUAGUCCACGCCGUAAACGAUGGAUACUAGCUGUAGGGGGUAUCGACCCCCUCUGUAGCGAAGCUAACGCGUUAAGUAUCCCGCCUGUGGAGUACGGUCGCAAGACUAAAACAUAAAGGAAUUGACGGGGACCCGCACAAGCGGUGGAUCAUGUUCUUUAAUUCGAUGCUAAACGAAGAACCUUACCAGGGUUUGACAUCCCGAGAAUUUUGCCGAAAGGCGAGAGUGCUUUAUUGAACUCGGUGACAGAUGAUGCAUGGCCGUCGUCAGCUCGUGUCGUGAGAUGUUUGGUUAAGUCCAUCAACGAGCGCAACCCUUGUGAUUAGUUGUAUUUUUCUAAUCAGACUGCCCCGGUAACGGGGAGGAAGGAGGGGAUGAUGUCAGGUCAGUAUUUCUCUUACAUCCUGGGCUAGAAACGUGAUACAAUGGCCGAUACAAUGCGCAUACGCCAACCCGCGAGGGGAGCAAAUCGCAUCAAAGUCGGUCCCAGUUCGGAUAAGAGGCUGAAACUCGCCUCUUUGAAGUCGG
This 541-nucleotide ribosomal RNA is filed under the name uncultured bacterium. RNAcentral's name for it is "bacterial SSU rRNA". It matches the Rfam family "Bacterial small subunit ribosomal RNA", at positions 777 to 1329 of the family's 1533-position model. The record is from RNAcentral.